Hydractinia symbiolongicarpus is the source of this 1357-nucleotide long non-coding RNA. RefSeq lists it as uncharacterized. The transcript is spliced from 3 exons. The record is from RefSeq and is a predicted model, not a curated record. Lineage: Eukaryota; Metazoa; Cnidaria; Hydrozoa; Anthoathecata; Hydractiniidae.
CUGUUCAGUCACGUGACUUUUUGCCGUGUUCGGAAAUUCAGCUUAAAACAAGCUCGCACACGGCAACGCGUAUUUUGUUAUUGCGCGUGAUGGCACUUAUUUUAAAUCGUCGAAUUCGGCACCUAUUUCGCUUAAGACAGAUGGUGUAUGGGCAGAUAGUGAUUGUUAAGUACCUUAAAUUUGUUUUUUUGAAUGAGACUUGUUUAAACGACCAACAGUGUAUUCAGAUUUCGACGAGGGAAAUGUAAACUUGGCGCAAACAGAGGAAAGUGCAUGACGUAUCAGUCUUGGAAUGAUGGCUAUUAAUCAUGGCUAUGUGCUAGAUAUUCCAGUUAACAUUAGACACAGCUACUAAACUAAAGCACCAAAGCUAGCUAGCUACCUAGCUAUAUAUAUAUAUUAGCCGAAGUAGUGGACCAGAAUAUGGAGUGUAUGAUGUUGUGUUUAAUUAUUCCAUACCACUGUGUGGUUAAUAGAUAAAGGUGCUAAAAGGUGCAGUUGUUCCAUUUUCAUCUGGUCUGCAUAUUUAUACUCUGUCAAAUAUUUUGCAAGCUUUAAGAGUGUUUGUCAAAGUUUUAUAGUUACCAACUUAGUGUUUUACAGUGGUUCCUGUGGACUUUCUUUUUACAUUUCCUUAAAUUUGAAAUAUCUUUUCAGCUAUUACGUUAUUUUCUCUGGCUGGUCUGCAAAUAUAAAUUUCGUACAUUUCUAUGAAGUCUCUCAAUGUUAAGAUUACAGUUUAUAAACAUUUUUGCCGGUUAUUGUAUAAUUGUUUUGCUUUUAUACAUUGAUUUUAUGUUAUUUUUGAGCUACAGCAUCAUUUUUACUAUCUGGUCUGCAAAUUACACUCUUGUCAAAUAUUUUGUACUCUUCAAGAGUGUUUGUAAAAUUUUUGAAUAGUUACUAAUUUGUGGUGUUUUAUUAUGUUCCUGUGAAUUUUUUUCGCAUUUUCAUCAAUUUGGAAAGAUUUUUUCAACUAUGACGUCAUUUUUUCUAUCUGGUCUGCAAAUUACACUCUUGUCAGAUAUUUGUACUCCUUAAGAGUGUUUGUAUAAUUUUUGAAUAGUUACUAAUUUGUGGUGUUUUAUUAUGUUCCUGUGAACUUUUUUUGCAUUUUCAUCAAUUUGGAAAGAUUUUUUCAACUAUGACGUCAUUUUUUCUAUCUGGUCUGCAAAUUUACACCCUUGUCCGAAAUUUCGUACACUCUAAUGAACUUUGUUUAACGUUAAGAUUACAGUUUAUAAAAUUGUUUACUGGUUGUUGUAUACUUUCUUGCGCUUUUAGAGCAAUUUGUAGUAAUAUUUGAGCUAUGACGUCAUCAUUACGUCAUUUCUAAAAAUAAACCAUCAAAAAUUAA